UACGGAGGAUCCAAGCGUUAUCCGGAUUUAUUGGGUUUAAAGGGUGCGUAGGCGGCCCUGUAAGUUAGAGGUGAAAGCCCGUGGCUCAACCACGGAAUUGCCUCUGAUACUGCAGGACUAGAGAGUAGUUGCUGUGGGCGGAAUGUGUAGUGUAGCGGUGAAAUGCUUAGAGAUUACACAGAACACCGAUUGCGAAGGCAGCUCACAAAGCUAUUUCUGACGCUGAGGCACGAAAGCGUGGGGAGCAAACAGGAUUAGAUACCCUGGUAGUCCACGCCGUAAACGAUGAUAGCUCGUUGCUGGCGAUACACAGUCAGUGACUUAGCGAAAGCGUUAAGCUAUCCACCUGGGGAGUACGUUCGCAAGAAUGAA
RNAcentral lists this ribosomal RNA (372 nucleotides) under uncultured bacterium. RNAcentral's name for it is "bacterial SSU rRNA". It matches the Rfam family "Bacterial small subunit ribosomal RNA", at positions 524 to 898 of the family's 1533-position model. The record is from RNAcentral.